AUGGUUAUCAUAAGAAACCAGACCCAGCUGCUGCCCCAGUGCAAUGACUCCACUUCAGAAUCAGCAGGGUCUGCAGCCUCAGAAGAGAGCGCCCCUUACUACUCAGGCAGCAGACAGCUCCGCCUCGUGGACGGGGGCGGUCCCUGCGCCGGGAGAGUGGAGAUCCGUGACCAGGGCUCCUGGGGCACCAUCUGUGAUUACAGGUGGGACCUGAAAGAUGCCCGUGUGGUGUGCAGACAGCUGGGCUGUGGAAAAGCCCUCCAAGCCACUGUCUCUUCUUCCUUUGGGGCUGGAUCAGGGCCCAUUUGGCUGGACAACCUGUGGUGCACAGGAAAGGAGUCCCACGUGUGGAGGUGCUCUUCCCGGGGCUGGGGGAAGCACUACUGCGAUCAUAGCCAGGAUGCAGGAGUCAUCUGCUCAGGAUUUGUGCGUCUGGCUGGAGGGGAUGGACCCUGCUCAGGGCGAGUAGAAGUGCAUUCUGGAGAAGCCUGGACCCCAGUGUCUGAUGGAAACUUCACACUCCCCACUGCCCAGGUCAUCUGUGCAGAACUGGGGUGUGGCAAGGCUGUGUCUGUCCUGGGACAGGUGCCCUUCAGAGAGUCCGAUGGCCAGGUCUGGGCUGAAGAGUUCAGAUGUGAAGGGGAGGAGCCUAAGCUCUGGUGGUGCCCCAGAGUGCCCUGUCCAGGGGGCACUUGUCACCACAGUGGAGCUGUUCAGGUUGCCUGUUCAGUGUACACAGACAUCCGGCUUAUGAAAAAUGGCACCUCUAGUUGUGAGGGGCAGGUGGAGAUGAACAUUUCUGGACGAUGGAGAGCAUUCUGUGCCUCCCACUGGAGUCUGGCCAAUGCCAAUGUUGUCUGUCGUCAGCUCGGCUGUGGAGUUGCCAUCUCCACCCCAAAUGGGGCAGAAGGAAGUGAUCAACUCUGGAAAGCCCGAUUUCACUGCUCAGGGACUGAGUCCUUCCUGUGGAAAUGCCCUGUGACUGCCCUGGGUGUUCCUGACUGUUCCCAUGGCAAUACGGCCUCUGUGAUCUGCUCAGGAAAUCAGACCCAGGUGCUGUCCCAGUGCAACGAUUCCGUGUCUGAACCAGCAGGGUUUGCAACCUCAGAGGAGAGCGCCCCCUACUGCUCAGAGUUCCUGGCCCUCAGGAUGGUGAGCGAGGACCAGCAGUGUGCUGGGUGGCUGGAAGUUUUUUACAACGGGACCUGGGGGAGUGUCUGCCGCAGCCCCAUGGACGAUGUCACCGUGUCCAUCAUCUGCAGUCAGCUUGGCUGUGGGGACAGUGGAACCCUCAGCUCUUCUGUUGCUCUUAGGGAAGGUUCUAGACCCCGGUGGGUAGAUUUAAUCCAAUGUCGGAAAACAGAUACCUCUCUCUGGCAGUGUCCUUCUGACCCUUGGAAAUACAGUUCAUGCUCUUCAAAGGAGGAAGCCUACAUCUCAUGUGCAGGAAGAAGACCCAAGAGCUGUCCAACUGCUGCCCCCUGCACAGACAGGGAGAAGCUCCGGCUCAGGGGAGGAGACAGCGAGUGCUCAGGGCGGGUGGAGGUCUGGCACAGCGGCUCCUGGGGCACCGUGUGCGAUGACUCCUGGAGCCUGGCAGAGGCCGAGGUGGUGUGCCAGCAGCUGGGCUGUGGCCAGGCCCUGGAAGCUCUGCGAGCGGCAACAUUCGGCCCUGGAAAUGGGAGCAUCUGGCUGGACGAGGUGCGGUGCGGGGGCCGGGAGUCCUCCCUGUGGGACUGUGCUGCGGAGCCCUGGGGGCAGAGCAACUGCAAGCACGAGGAGGAUGCUGGUGUGAGGUGCUCUGGUGUAAGGACAUUGCCCACGACUACAGCAGGGACAAGAACAACCUCAAAUCCUCUCCCUGGUGUCUUCUCCCUGCCUGGGGUCCUCUGCCUCAUCCUGGGGGCACUUCUCUUCCUGGUCCUUGUCAUCCUGGUGACUCAGCUGCUCAGAUGGAGAGCAGAGCGCAGAGACUUAUCUAGCCACGAAGAUGCUCUUGCUGAAGCCGUGUAUGAGGAGCUCGAUGACUUUGUGACUCGGAAAGAGGGUCUUCUUGGUAGUCCAGGCUUCCUGUCAGAUGACUCAGUGAUUAAACUGCCGUAUUACACCAGGGACGGUGAGGAGUACAGUGACUACAGAUCUGCACCAGGGGAACCCCCAGAUCAGAGGACUGAUGUCCCUGCUGAAAAUUACGAUGAUGCUGAAGAGGUAUUAGUGCCUGGGGCUCCUCCUGCCUCUCAGAGGAGUGAGGAAAAAGUGUUCCCAGAGGAGAAUGGGGCGAGAUCCCCCCAGAAAGGCUCUUCUCUGAACUUCUCCAGAGAGGUGGCUGAUCUUGGGGAAGGAGAAGAGAGCCCCUGGCUGCUCCAGGGGAAGAAAGGGGACCCUGGGUAUGAUGACGUUGAGCUAAGUGCCUUGGGAACACCUCUAGUAACUUUCCCAUGAUCUUGUAUUAAAUAUGAGAUGAAGACUCAGAUAUUCUAAUUGCUUGUAUUUCAGUAGAGUAGUGCUGACCUGUAACUGUUUUAUA
Molecule: long non-coding RNA, 2527 nt
Organism: Capra hircus (goat)
Lineage: Eukaryota; Metazoa; Chordata; Mammalia; Artiodactyla; Bovidae
Product: antigen WC1.1
Exons: 15
Source: RefSeq, a predicted model, not a curated record